RNAcentral lists this ribosomal RNA (578 nucleotides) under uncultured Bacteroidota bacterium. Its description in RNAcentral is "bacterial SSU rRNA". It matches the Rfam family "Bacterial small subunit ribosomal RNA", at positions 338 to 916 of the family's 1533-position model. Lineage: Bacteria; Pseudomonadati; Bacteroidota. The record is from RNAcentral.
CCUACGGGAGGCAGCAGUGAGGAAUAUUGGACAAUGGAUGGAAAUCUGAUCCAGCCAUGCCGCGUGCAGGAUGACGGCCCUAUGGGUUGUAAACUGCUUUUGUAUGGGAGCAAUAAGCCCUUCGUGAAGGGUGAUGAGAGUACCAUACGAAUAAGCAUCGGCUAACUCCGUGCCAGCAGCCGCGGUAAUACGGAGGAUGCGAGCGUUAUCCGGAUUUAUUGGGUUUAAAGGGUGCGUAGGCGGUUGGAUAAGUCAGCGGUGAAAGUUUUCUGCUUAACAGGAAAAAUGCCGUUGAUACUGUCUGGCUAGAAUAUGGUUGCUGUGAGUGGAAUGUGUGGUGUAGCGGUGAAAUGCUUAGAUAUCACACAGAAUAUCGAUUGCGAAGGCAGCUCACAAAGCCAUUAUUGACGCUGAGGCACGAAAGUGUGGGGAUCAAACAGGAUUAGAUACCCUGGUAGUCCACACUGUAAACGAUGAUAACUCGCUGUCGGCGAUACACAGUCGGUGGCCAAGCGAAAGCGAUAAGUUAUCCACCUGGGGAGUACGACCGCAAGGUUGAAACUCAAAGGAAUUGACGG